GGGUGGUUAGCUCAGCUGGUAGAGCGCCUGCUUGACUUGCAGGAGGUCAGUGGUUCGAACCCACUACCACCCACCA
This 76-nucleotide transfer RNA is filed under the name Candidatus Altimarinota bacterium. RNAcentral describes it as "tRNA-Val". It matches the Rfam family "tRNA". From Rfam's summary of the family: Transfer RNA (tRNA) molecules are approximately 80 nucleotides in length. Their secondary structure includes four short double-helical elements and three loops (D, anti-codon, and T loops). Lineage: Bacteria; Candidatus Altimarinota. The record is from RNAcentral.